GCCUGGCUAGCUCAGUUGGGAGAGUAUGAGACUCUAAUGUUCAGGAUUGUGGGUUUGAGCCCCACUCUAGGCA
RNAcentral lists this transfer RNA (73 nucleotides) under Pangasianodon hypophthalmus (striped catfish). It matches the Rfam family "tRNA". From Rfam's summary of the family: Transfer RNA (tRNA) molecules are approximately 80 nucleotides in length. Lineage: Eukaryota; Metazoa; Chordata; Actinopteri; Siluriformes; Pangasiidae. The record is from Rfam by way of RNAcentral.